Aotus nancymaae (Ma's night monkey) is the source of this 301-nucleotide unclassified non-coding RNA. It matches the Rfam family "Metazoan signal recognition particle RNA". From Rfam's summary of the family: The signal recognition particle (SRP) is a universally conserved ribonucleoprotein. It is involved in the co-translational targeting of proteins to membranes. The record is from Ensembl. NCBI's taxonomy places the organism in Eukaryota, Metazoa, Chordata, Mammalia, Primates, Aotidae.
GCCCGCACGGUGGUGAGUGCCUAUAGUCCUAGCUACUCGGGAGGCUGAGGUGGGAGGAUCGCUUGAGCCCAGGAGUUCUGGGCUGUAGUACACUAGGCUGAUUGGGUGUCCGUACUAAGUUCGGCAUCGAUAUGGUGAGCUCCCCGGAGCGGGGGACCACCAGGUGGCCUAAGGAGGAGGGGUGAACCGGCCCAGGUCGGAAACGGAGCAUGUCAAAACUGCCGUGCUGAUCAGUAGUGGGAUCGCGCCUGUGAAUAGCCACUGCACUCCAGCCUGGGCAACGUAGCCAGACCCUGUCUCU